GCCUGUUUCCCAACAGUCUGCAACAGAGUUUGGUGCUUCAUUGAUCACACUGGGAUUUUUGCCAGUUGGAUAGGUACCCGGAUAAAUUACAUUUCCUAGCCUCCUUGAGGUUAGACAAAUGCUGGCCAGUGGAAUACAGCUUGAUGUUGGCAUCCUGGGCAUCCUUGCAAGAUAGAUUUUGAAUAUGGUGAAGUUUCUGUCAGCCAGAGUCCCUGCAUGGUUGUAUGGAGAAAGUUCCCCAACCCUGCCUAACCACCUACUGAACUUAACA
Molecule: long non-coding RNA, 271 nt
Organism: Hipposideros armiger (great roundleaf bat)
Lineage: Eukaryota; Metazoa; Chordata; Mammalia; Chiroptera; Hipposideridae
Exons: 3
Source: RefSeq, a predicted model, not a curated record